GAUGAAGAACGUAGCGAAAUGCGAUAAGUAAUGUGAAUUGCAGAAUUCCAGUGAAUCAUCGAAUCUUUGAACGCACAUUGCGCCCGCCAGUAUUCUGGCGGGCAUGCCUGUUCGAGCGUCAUUUCAACCAUCAAGCUCCCGGGCUUGCGUUGGGGACCUGCGGCUGCCGCAGGCCCUGAAAACCAGUGGCGGGCUCGCUAGUCACUCCGAGCGUAGUAAUACAUCUCGCUCAGGGCGUGCUGCGGGUUCCGGCCGUUAAAAAGCCUUAUUUACCCAAGGUUGACCUCGGAUCAGGUAGGAAGACCCGCUGAACUUAAGCAUAUCAAUAAGCGGAGGA
This 337-nucleotide unclassified non-coding RNA is filed under the name soil metagenome. RNAcentral describes it as "partial contains 5.8S ribosomal RNA, internal transcribed spacer 2, and large subunit ribosomal RNA". The stretch from base 1 to 121 matches the Rfam family "5.8S ribosomal RNA", at positions 35 to 154 of the family's 154-position model. The record is from RNAcentral.